GACGAACGCUGGCGGUGUGCUUAACACAUGCAAGUCGAACGGUAAGGCCCUUUCGGGGGUACACGAGUGGCGAACGGGGGAGUAACACGUGAGUAACCUGCCUUCAUCUCUGGGAUAACAGUCGGAAACGGUUGCUAAUACUGGAUAUGAGCUUGCAAGGCAUCUUGUGGGUUGGAAAGAUUUUUUUUGGUUGGGGAUGGACUCGCGGCCUAUCAGCUUGUUGGUGAGGUAGUGGCUCACCAAGGCUUCGACGGGUAGCCGGCCUGAGAGGGCGACCGGCCACAUUGGGACUGAGAUACGGCCCAAACUCCUACGGGAGGCAGCAGUGGGGAAUAUUGCACAAUGGACGGAAGUCUGAUGCAGCAACGCCGCGUGCGGGAUGACGGCCUUCGGGUUGUAAACCGCUUUCAAUUGUGACGAAGCGUUUUUGUGACGGUAGCAGUAGAAGAAGCACCGGCUAACUACGUG
Molecule: ribosomal RNA, 468 nt
Filed under: uncultured bacterium
Lineage: Bacteria
Description: partial 16S ribosomal RNA
Rfam family: Bacterial small subunit ribosomal RNA
Source: RNAcentral